RNAcentral lists this ribosomal RNA (468 nucleotides) under uncultured bacterium. RNAcentral's name for it is "bacterial SSU rRNA". It matches the Rfam family "Bacterial small subunit ribosomal RNA", at positions 28 to 508 of the family's 1533-position model. The record is from RNAcentral.
GACGAACGCUGGCGGCGUGCUUAACACAUGCAAGUCGAGGGCGGUAGCAAUACCGACCGGCGAACGGGUGCGUAACACGUAAGCAACCUACCCUUUUGUGGGGGAUAGCCGGCCCAACGGCCGGGUAAUACCGCAUACGCUAACCAGUUCUCAUGGACAGGUUAGGAAAGCUUUAGCGCAUAGGGAGGGGCUUGCGGCCUAUCAGCUUGUUGGCGAGGUAACGGCUCACCAAGGCUACGACGGGUAGCUGGUCUGAGAGGAUGGCCAGCCACAUUGGGACUGAGAAACGGCCCAGACUCCUACGGGAGGCAGCAGUGGAGAAUCUUGCGCAAUGGUCUAACGACUGACGCAGCGACGCCGCGUGUGGGAUGAAGCUCUUCGGGGUGUAAACCACUGUUGCCUGGGACGAAUUGCCGGAUUUUUCUGGCUUGACGGUACCGGGUGAGGAAGCACCGGCUAACUCUGUGC